This 440-nucleotide ribosomal RNA is filed under the name uncultured bacterium. Its description in RNAcentral is "partial 16S ribosomal RNA". It matches the Rfam family "Bacterial small subunit ribosomal RNA", at positions 338 to 795 of the family's 1533-position model. The record is from RNAcentral.
CCUACGGGUGGCAGCAGUGGGGAAUCUUUCACAAUGGGCGAAAGCCUGAUGCAGCAACGCCGCGUGCGGGAAGAAGGCCUUCGGGUUGUAAACUGCUUUUAUCAGCGAGAAAUAUGCUGGUAACUUAUGAAUAAGGAUCGGCUAACUACGUGCCAGCCGCCGUGGUCAUACGUAGGAUCCGGGCAUUAUCCGGAGUGACUGGGGGUAAAGGGCGUGCAGCAGGGAAGACAAGUCAGAUGUGAAAUCCCGCGGCGCAACCGCGGAACUGCAUGUGAAACUGUUUGGCUUGAGUACCGGAGAGGUCAGCGGAAUUCCUUGUGUAGCGGUGAAAUGCGUAGAUAUAAGGAAGAACACCAGUGGCGAAGGCGGAUGACUGGACGGCAACUGACGGUGAGGCGCGAAAGCGUGGGGAGCAAACAGGAUUAGAUACCCUUGUAGUC